GUCCUACGGGACGCAGCAGUGGGGAAUAUUGGGCAAUGGGCGCAAGCCUGACCCAGCAACGCCGCGUGAAGGAAGAAGGCUUUCGGGUUGUAAACUUCUUUUAAGAGGGAAGAGAAGAAGACGGUACCUCUUGAAUAAGCAUCGGCUAACUCCGUGCCAGCAGCCGCGGUAAUAUGGAGGAUGCGAGCGUUAUCCGGAUUUAUUGGGUUUAAAGGGUGCGUAGGCGGAUUUUUAAGUCAGCGGUAAAAUGUCCGGGCUCAACCCGGGCCGGCCGUUGAAACUGGGGAUCUUGAGUGGGCGAGAAG
Molecule: ribosomal RNA, 305 nt
Filed under: uncultured bacterium
Lineage: Bacteria
Description: bacterial SSU rRNA
Rfam family: Bacterial small subunit ribosomal RNA
Source: RNAcentral